GAACGCUGGCGGCAUGCCUUACACAUGCAAGUCGAACGGCAGCACGGGGGCAACCCUGGUGGCGAGUGGCGAACGGGUGAGUAAUGCAUCGGAACGUGCCCAGUAGUGGGGGAUAGCUCGGCGAAAGCCGGAUUAAUACCGCAUACGACCUACGGGUGAAAGCGGGGGACCGCAAGGCCUCGCGCUGUUGGAGCGGCCGAUGUCAGAUUAGGUUGUUGGUGGGGUAAAGGCUCACCAAGCCGACGAUCUGUAGCUGGUCUGAGAGGACGACCAGCCACACUGGGACUGAGACACGGCCCAGACUCCUACGGGAGGCAGCAGUGGGGAAUUUUGGACAAUGGGGGCAACCCUGAUCCAGCCAUGCCGCGUGCGGGAAGAAGGCCUUCGGGUUGUAAACCGCUUUUGUCGGGGAAGAAAUCUUUCGGGCUAAUACCUCGGGAGGAUGACGGUACCCGAAGAAUAAGCACCGGCUAACUACGUGCCAGCAGCCGCGGUAAUACGUAGGGUGCAAGCGUUAAUCGGAAUUACUGGGCGUAAAGCGCGCGCAGGCGGUUAUGCAAGACAGAUGUGAAAUCCCCGGGCUUAACCUGGGAACUGCAUUUGUGACUGCAUAGCUGGAGUACGGCAGAGGGGGAUGGAAUUCCGCGUGUAGCAGUGAAAUGCGUAGAUAUGCGGAGGAACACCGAUGGCGAAGGCAGUCCCCUGGGCCUGUACUGACGCUCAUGCACGAAAGCGUGGGGAGCAAACAGGAUUAGAUACCCUGGUAGUCCACGCCCUAAACGAUGUCAACUGGUUGUUGGGAAGGUUUCUUCUCAGUAACGUAGCUAACGCGUGAAGUUGACCGCCUGGGGAGUACCGCCGCCAGGUUGAAACU
Molecule: ribosomal RNA, 874 nt
Filed under: uncultured bacterium
Lineage: Bacteria
Description: bacterial SSU rRNA
Rfam family: Bacterial small subunit ribosomal RNA
Source: RNAcentral